AGGAGGAACAACCCCAGUGGUGGCGGCCAGCUCUGGAGCCCUGGAGUCAGCUCCUGCAGUAACAAGGAGCUCUCCGUCUUCAGGGGCCUGGAGGCUCCGGGGUGGG
RNAcentral lists this microRNA precursor (106 nucleotides) under Canis lupus familiaris (dog). Its description in RNAcentral is "mir-8834 microRNA precursor family". It matches the Rfam family "mir-8834 microRNA precursor family". The record is from Rfam by way of RNAcentral. Lineage: Eukaryota; Metazoa; Chordata; Mammalia; Carnivora; Canidae. RNAcentral also lists the same sequence under 1 other name.